UACGUAGGGGGCCAGCGUUGUCCGGAUUUAUUGGGCGUAAAGAGCGUGUAGGCGGCCAGGUAGGUCUGGUGUGAAAACUCGAGGCUUAACCUCGAGAUGUCAUCGGAAACCAUCUGGCUAGAGUCCGGAAGAGGAGAGUGGAAUUCCUGGUGUAGCGGUGAAAUGCGCAGAUAUCAGGAAGAACACCAAUGGCGAAAGCAGCUCUCUGGGACGGUACUGACGCUGAGACGCGAAAGCGUGGGGAGCGAACAGG
RNAcentral lists this ribosomal RNA (253 nucleotides) under uncultured bacterium. Its description in RNAcentral is "partial 16S ribosomal RNA". It matches the Rfam family "Bacterial small subunit ribosomal RNA", at positions 524 to 776 of the family's 1533-position model. The record is from RNAcentral.